UUAUUUUAGCGGCGGACGGGUGAGUAACGUGUGGGCAACCUACCUUUUACUGUGGAAUAAUCGUUGGAAACGACGACUAAUACCGCAUACGAUUUUCUGAAGGCAUCUUUGGGAAAGGAAAGGAAAUAUUCGGUAAAAGAUGGGCCCGCAUCUGAUUAGCUAGUUGGUGAGAUAAUAGCCCACCAAGGCAACGAUCAGUAGCCGACCUGAGAGGGUGGCCGGCCACAUUGGGACUGAGACACGGCCCAAACUCCUACGGAAGGCAGCAG
Molecule: ribosomal RNA, 269 nt
Filed under: uncultured bacterium
Lineage: Bacteria
Description: partial 16S ribosomal RNA
Rfam family: Bacterial small subunit ribosomal RNA
Source: RNAcentral